Molecule: long non-coding RNA, 308 nt
Organism: Mobula hypostoma (lesser devil ray)
Lineage: Eukaryota; Metazoa; Chordata; Chondrichthyes; Myliobatiformes; Myliobatidae
Exons: 3
Source: RefSeq, a predicted model, not a curated record
CUCCCUUCGGGGAAGCCACUUUUAACAUGGAUUAUGUCCCGUGACGAUUAGUAAGGGGCCAAGUGAGGUCUGGACGCCCCGGCCCCAGAAAAUGCUUCAAAUGAAAAGGAAGUCUUCCAUUGUCAGAAAAUGAUGAAUAAAAAAGGAAAAAUCAAGUUCUGGAGCAUUGUGAGGGUUACUCCGAGCUGUAGGAUAUCCAUUUUGCAAACCACUAGUGCAUCAAACACUAUGUUCACACCCUGUGAGAACAGACAAAAAAGGGAACAUGAACAGUGAACUUGAACAACAACUGCAAGAGAUAGAAAAUA